UGAGCAGGUCACCUUAUCGCCUUGCCCCGAGUAUUCGGGUCGAGGAGGAAAGUCCGGACACCAUAGUGCGACAUAGCGGGUAACACCCGCCCUCCGGCCUUUGGCAGGAGCGGACAAGUGCAACAGAAAGAAUGUACAGUUCGGCUGUAGUGAAACCAGGUAAACUCUAUGUGGUGAAACGUCAUGUAUAUCAGUGUUCGAGGGCUGCACGCCCGAGCUGAAGGGUAGGCGGUAUGAGCCUUUGGGCAACCAAAGGCCUAGAUAAAUGAUAAGGAAGUCCUGGUAGUAAUAUCAGGGUAGACAGAAUCCGGCUUACGACCUGCUUUUUUU
RNAcentral lists this RNase P RNA (330 nucleotides) under Maribacter sp. RNAcentral describes it as "RNase P RNA component class A". It matches the Rfam family "Bacterial RNase P class A". From Rfam's summary of the family: Ribonuclease P (RNase P) is a ubiquitous endoribonuclease, found in archaea, bacteria and eukarya as well as chloroplasts and mitochondria. Its best characterised activity is the generation of mature 5'-ends of tRNAs by cleaving the 5'-leader elements of precursor-tRNAs. Cellular RNase Ps are ribonucleoproteins. Lineage: Bacteria; Pseudomonadati; Bacteroidota; Flavobacteriia; Flavobacteriales; Flavobacteriaceae. The record is from RNAcentral.